Molecule: unclassified non-coding RNA, 1978 nt
Filed under: Hevea brasiliensis (rubber tree)
Lineage: Eukaryota; Viridiplantae; Streptophyta; Magnoliopsida; Malpighiales; Euphorbiaceae
Source: RNAcentral
CAAGAAUCCAAGAUCCUCUUUCCAUUAAAAAAAGAAAAUUCAAGAUCCUCUUGUAUUUAUAUCAAAGUCCAUUUUCCAUAUCUAGCAUUGAUUUUAAUUAUUUCUCAAUCAGGCACCACACAGCGCCUUGCUAGCCUUCAGGAGAAGAAAAUAUGGCAAACAUGCAUAUUCUUCUUCUGCAUCUAUUAUUAUCUCUGCUACUUGUUCAUGAAACCUUAGCCAAAAUUCCAGCAAUCAUAGUGUUUGGAGAUUCAUCUGUUGAUGCUGGAAACAACAACUUGAUUUCCACUGUUCUCAAGAGUAAUUUCCAGCCUUAUGGCCGAGAUUUCGAAGGUGGUCGUCCAACCGGACGCUUCUCCAAUGGUCGUAUCCCUCCUGACUUCAUUUCUCAAGCUUUUGGUCUCAAGCCAGCAAUUCCUGCUUACUUAGAUCCCUUGUAUACUAUAUCAGAUUUUGCUACUGGUGUUUGCUUUGCCUCUGCUGGAACUGGCUAUGACAAUGCUACUUCCAAUGUCCUCAAUGUGAUACCCUUGUGGAAGGAGCUAGAGUACUACAAGGAUUACCAGAACAAACUGAGAGCCCAUGUUGGAAACAAUAAGGCAAAGGAGAUACUGAGUGAGUCGUUGUAUUUGAUGAGCUUAGGAACAAAUGAUUUCCUAGAAAAUUACUACGUAUUUCCAACAAGAAGAGCUCAAUUCAAUGUCGAGCAAUAUCAGGAUUUUCUUGUUAAACAUGCUGGAGAUUUCAUUACCAAACUCUACGAUCUUGGAGCUAGGAAGAUUUCACUGACUGGGCUUCCUCCAAUGGGGUGUUUGCCAUUAGAGAGGACUACAAAUUUCAUUGGUCUACAUGAUUGUUCAGAGCAAUACAAUCAUGUAGCUUUGGAAUUCAAUGGGAAGUUGGAGGGCUUAGCUUCAAAGCUUAACAAAGAGCUUCCUGGACUCAAGAUAUUGUUCACAAAAAGUGUUUAUGACGUUUUCUAUGAUAUCAUCAGAAGACCUUCUCUAUACGGUAAGCUCUACUUAAUCAGUGCUUAAUUAUGUCAAUCUUAUUACAUAUAUACUUGUUCUUUCUUUAUAAUUUUUGUUCAUAUAUCCUUUCCUUGUAGACAAAUUAAAAUUUUCAUGCACUAAUAGGAAGAGCUUACUUAGACGUGAUCACGGACUCAAGACACAAACAUGCAUUAUGUUGAGAGAAUUUCUCCUCCUAAAUUAACUAAAAUGACAUUUUAUUACAAGCAGUUAAAAGUAACAGAAAAUCUAGCAGACCAGACAUAUUGAAUAAUUCCUCCUACUGGUUAGUUCUUAGAUUAUCCUAAAUCUUACAUCUAUAGGUGAUAAUUGCAAAUAAUAGAUGGGUUGUUAUAAAUAUAUUGGCUUCAUUUGAAAGAAAUUUUUUACAAGAAAAAAAUUUAAUUAAAUUCUCAUAUAAUUAUACUUAAUUUCUAUUUUUAUGAAAAUGAAUUGUUUUAAAUUAAAAGAAUUGAAUUCUUUCAUUUUAAAUAUAAAAAUUAAUAAAAUAAGUCAAUUGAAUUGAAUUAUAGUAAAAUUUUACAUAUUCUAUGAUUUAGGAUAUUAUUUUUUUUGGGUAGGUGCUGUUUUUGGUGAGGGGGUGGAAGGGAAAGAGGAGCAAAUAUAGGUUAGGGAUGAAAUUGAAUUAAAUUCCACAUUGAAAUUAAGUAAUUGAGCAAGUCUAGAAAUUUACUAAUUCAUAAGAAAUAAGAUUCUAUACUCAUUUAAUGUGAAGUGUCUCUUUCUAUAGCCAUAAAACUGUAAAAGAAAAAUCAGAAAAAUCAGUGCAUGUCAUAUCUCACUGUCUAUAACUCUUGUUAUGUUGAGAGUUCAAAUCUUAUCGAUCAUCAUAAGGUAAUCUGUAAGCUUCACUUUAAUGAGAUUGUUAGAAUGCCCUAAUUUAGGAUUGAAAACUUUCUCUCCACUUAAAUUUUAUCUCACCAAACACACACACAUAUAUAUAUAUA